Molecule: transfer-messenger RNA, 401 nt
Filed under: Candidatus Nomurabacteria bacterium RIFCSPHIGHO2_02_FULL_42_19
Lineage: Bacteria; Candidatus Nomuraibacteriota
Also listed under: 1 other name
Rfam family: transfer-messenger RNA
About the family: Bacterial tmRNA, also known as 10Sa RNA or SsrA, is named for its dual tRNA and mRNA-like properties. Its role is to liberate the mRNA from a stalled ribosome. To accomplish this part of the tmRNA is used as a reading frame that ends in a translation stop signal.
Source: RNAcentral
GGGGAUGCAAGGCCUAGACAGUUGGCCUCUUGCCCUUGAUGCAUACCGAGCAUGGGCGUAAUCUCGUAAAACUUCGCUCAAUAGCUUAAUUGCAAAAUUAGCUUCCAAAGUGAAGGCAAUUGCUUCUCCGUACUUCGGUAUGGGUGAGUUUGCUUUCGCUCACGUUUCCGCUUCGGCUUAAGCGUGUGUCUCUCUUAUUGACUUCCGAUAAAUAAGACGGGCAUAACAUUAUCGGGAUAGCCCCGACGCGGCUUCGCCGUCGGGGCAAAACAUAGAAGAUCGAUUGAAAAAUAUUUGGCGCGUUUCUUAAUUUUUUAAUUUAAACCUGCAAGCGCGCUAUGUAUGUAGAUUUUAAGGCAGGCACCUUCUGCACGGGGAUUCGAUUUCCCCCAUCUCCACAA